Pelobates cultripes (western spadefoot toad) is the source of this 448-nucleotide non-coding RNA. The record is from the annotation of a GenBank genome assembly. NCBI's taxonomy places the organism in Eukaryota, Metazoa, Chordata, Amphibia, Anura, Pelobatidae.
CAUAGAUUUUGCAGUGUACUGAUACGUACAUAUGGUUCACAAAUCAAGUCAGAACAAGUUACUGAUAAGGAGAAAAAAGGAGUAGUAAAAUGGUAUUAUAGUCCUGUAUUAAGAUCUGUGUCGUACAACCACUCAUGUCGCUUUAACCCCUGUAUCACAACUCAACUUUGAAUUCUAUGUGUUGUUUUUGCUAGGAGUGCUUUAGACAUGAGAAAUGGAGGUCCUUGUGAAAGCUUUUCUUUCCAAAAUUCUGUUAUUCCAAUAAAAAAGGCAUUACAAGAGACUAAUUUCACAUAUGUUUUCAUAUAAAUAUGUAUAUAUUCUCUCAAGUCUCGUACAUGAGCAGUGUCAAUUUGCUCUUGAAUGGGGCAGGAGCAUCAUUACAGAGAUGAGGACCAUGCACAGCAACUAAUACUGUGUGUUUGGUGUAGGAUUCACAUAAGAGCCC